This 498-nucleotide ribosomal RNA is filed under the name uncultured bacterium. RNAcentral's name for it is "partial 16S ribosomal RNA". It matches the Rfam family "Bacterial small subunit ribosomal RNA", at positions 28 to 523 of the family's 1533-position model. The record is from RNAcentral.
GAUGAACGCUAGCGGCAGGCCUAAUACAUGCAAGUCGAACGAUAGUGAGAAGCUUGCUUCUCACGAAAGUGGCGCACGGGUGCGUAACGCGUAUGCAACCUACCUUAAUCAGGGGGAUAGCCCGAAAAAAUUCGGAUUAACACCGCAUAAAAUCACAGUAUAGCAUUAUACAAUGAUCAAAUAUGUAUAGGAUUAAGAUGGGCAUGCGUGACAUUAGUUAGUUGGCGGGGUAACGGCCCACCAAGACCACGAUGUCUAGGGGACCUGAGAGGAUGACCCCCCAAACGGGUACUGAGACACGGACCAGACUCCUACGGGAGGCAGCAGUAAGGAAUAUUGGUCAAUGGAGGCAACUCUGAACCAGCCAUGCCGCGUGCAGGAAGACAGCCCUCUGGGUCGUAAACUGCUUUUAUUCGGGAAUAAACCUAUCUACGUGUAGAUAGCUGAAUGUACCGAAGGAAUAAGGAUCGGCUAACUCCGUGCCAGCCGCCGCCGUAA